Molecule: signal recognition particle RNA, 299 nt
Filed under: Cyprinus carpio carpio
Lineage: Eukaryota; Metazoa; Chordata; Actinopteri; Cypriniformes; Cyprinidae
Description: Metazoan signal recognition particle RNA
Rfam family: Metazoan signal recognition particle RNA
About the family: The signal recognition particle (SRP) is a universally conserved ribonucleoprotein.
Source: Rfam by way of RNAcentral
GCCGGGUGCAGUGGCGCGCGCCUGUAAUCCAAGCUGCUGGGAGGCUGAGGCUGGCGGAUCGCUUGAGUUCAGGGGUUCUGGGCUGCAGUGGACUAUGUCGAUCGGGUGUCCGCGCUAAGUUCGGUAUCGAUAUGGUGCUCCUGGGGGAGCUCGGGACCACCAGGUCGUCUAAGGAGGGGUGAACCGGCCCAGGUCGGAGACGGAGCAGGUCAAAGCCCCCGUGCCGAUCAGUAGUGGGGUCGCACCUGUGAAUAGACACUGCAGUGCAGCCUGAGCGAUACAGCGAGACUCAGACUUUU